UACCGAGGUCCCGAGCGUUGUUCGGAUUCAUUGGGCGUAAAGGGUGCGUAGGUGGCGCUGUAAGUGGGGUGUGAAAUCCCGGGGCUUAACCCCGGGACUGCAUUCCAUACUGCGGUGCUUGAGGACUGGAGAGGAGACUGGAAUUUACGGUGUAGCAGUGAAAUGCGUAGAGAUCGUAAGGAAGACCAGUGGCGAAGGCGGGGCUCUGGACAGUUCCUGACACUGAGGCACGAAGGCCAGGGGAGCAAACGGG
This 253-nucleotide ribosomal RNA is filed under the name uncultured bacterium. RNAcentral describes it as "partial 16S ribosomal RNA". It matches the Rfam family "Bacterial small subunit ribosomal RNA", at positions 524 to 776 of the family's 1533-position model. The record is from RNAcentral.